RNAcentral lists this ribosomal RNA (207 nucleotides) under uncultured bacterium. RNAcentral's name for it is "partial 16S ribosomal RNA". It matches the Rfam family "Bacterial small subunit ribosomal RNA", at positions 568 to 774 of the family's 1533-position model. The record is from RNAcentral.
UUCGUAGGCGGUUCGUCGCGUCCGGUGUGAAAGUCCAUCGCUUAACGGUGGAUCCGCGCCGGGUACGGGCGGGCUUGAGUGCGGUAGGGGAGACUGGAAUUCCCGGUGUAACGGUGGAAUGCGUAGACAUCGGGAGGAACACCAGUGGCGAAGGCGACCUACUGGGCACCAACUGACGCUGAGGCUCGAAAGUGUGGGUAGCAAACA